CCUACGGGUGGCAGCAGUGGGGAAUAUUGGACAAUGGGCGAAAGCCUGAUCCAGCCAUGCCGCGUGUGUGAAGAAGGCCUUCGGGUUGUAAAGCACUUUCAGUGGGGAAGAAAGCCUUGGGGCUAAUACCCUCGAGGAAGGACAUCACCCACAGAAGAAGCACCGGCUAACUCCGUGCCAGCAGCCGCGGUAAUACGGAGGGUGCGAGCGUUAAUCGGAAUUACUGGGCGUAACGCGCGCGUAGGCGGUCUGAUAAGCCGGUUGUGAAAGCCCCGGGCUCAACCUGGGAACGGCAUCCGGAACUGUCAGGCUAGAGUGCAGGAGAGGAAGGUAGAAUUCCCGGUGUAGCGGUGAAAUGCGUAGAGAUCGGGAGGAAUACCAGUGGCGAAGGCGGCCUUCUGGACUGACACUGACGCUGAGGUGCGAAAGCGUGGGUAGCAAACAGGAUUAGAUACCCUUGUAGUC
RNAcentral lists this ribosomal RNA (465 nucleotides) under Vreelandella stevensii. RNAcentral describes it as "partial 16S ribosomal RNA". It matches the Rfam family "Bacterial small subunit ribosomal RNA", at positions 338 to 795 of the family's 1533-position model. The record is from RNAcentral. Lineage: Bacteria; Pseudomonadati; Pseudomonadota; Gammaproteobacteria; Oceanospirillales; Halomonadaceae.